This 458-nucleotide ribosomal RNA is filed under the name uncultured bacterium. RNAcentral describes it as "partial 16S ribosomal RNA". It matches the Rfam family "Bacterial small subunit ribosomal RNA", at positions 338 to 795 of the family's 1533-position model. The record is from RNAcentral.
CCUACGGGAGGCUGCAGUGAGGAAUAUUGGUCAAUGGGCGAGAGCCUGAACCAGCCAAGUCGCGUGAGGGAGUACUGCCCUAUGGGUUGUAAACCUCUUUUGUCGGGGAGCAAAAGCCGGACGUGUCCGGCUGUGAGAGUACCCGAAGAAAAAGCAUCGGCUAACUCCGUGCCAGCAGCCGCGGUAAUACGGAGGAUGCGAGCGUUAUCCGGAUUUAUUGGGUUUAAAGGGUGCGCAGGCGGAUUUUUAAGUCAGCGGUAAAAUCGUGGGGCGCAACCCCAUCCAGCCGUUGAAACUGGGGAUCUAGAGUGUGAGAGAGGUAGGCGGAAUGCGUGGUGGAGGGGUGAAAUGCAUAGAUAUCACGAAGAACCCCGAUUGCGAAGGCAGCAGACCGGUGCACAACUGACGCUGAGGCACGAAAGCGUGGGUAUCGAACAGGAUUAGAGACCCCAGUAGUC